UACAGAGGUCUCAAGCGUUGUUCGGAUUCAUUGGGCGUAAAGGGUGCGUAGGCGGCCAACUAAGUCGGACGUGAAAUCCCUCGGCUUAACCGGGGAACUGCGUCCGAUACUGGAUGGCUUGAGUUUGGGAGAGGGAUGCGGAAUUCCAGGUGUAGCGGUGAAAUGCGUAGAUAUCUGGAGGAACACCGGUGGCGAAGGCGGCAUCCUGGACCGGCAUUGACGCUGAGGAGCGAAAGCCAGGGGAGCAAACGGG
This 253-nucleotide ribosomal RNA is filed under the name uncultured bacterium. Its description in RNAcentral is "partial 16S ribosomal RNA". It matches the Rfam family "Bacterial small subunit ribosomal RNA", at positions 524 to 776 of the family's 1533-position model. The record is from RNAcentral.